RNAcentral lists this ribosomal RNA (325 nucleotides) under uncultured eukaryote. Its description in RNAcentral is "partial 18S ribosomal RNA". It matches the Rfam family "Eukaryotic small subunit ribosomal RNA", at positions 1470 to 1796 of the family's 1831-position model. The record is from RNAcentral.
CCCUUAGAUGUUCUGGGCCGCACGCGCGCUACACUGAUGCAUUCAACGAGCCUAUCCUUGACCGACAGGUCCGGGUAAUCUUUGAAUCUGCAUCGUGACGGGGAUAGAUUAUUGCAAUUAUUAAUCUUCAACGAGGAAUGCCUAGUAGGCGCAAGUCAUCAGCUUGCGUCGAUUACGUCCCUGCCCUUUGUACACACCGCCCGUCGCUCCUACCGAUUGGGUGUGCUGGUGAAAUGUUCGGAUCGGCCGUUUGUCGCGGUUUCCGCGUCUUGUGGCUGAGAAGUUCAUUAAACCCUCCCACCUAGAGGAAGGAGAAGUCGUAACA